CGAGCGUCACUCUUAGGUGGUUAUGUCCGUUGCGGUGGUUCUAUUCCAUUGAGCUCAACUAUAGAGAGGAUGAAGAAGCAGUUGGGCCGUACACCAACCCACGAGGAGGUCUUCAAAGAAACCCA
Arachis ipaensis is the source of this 125-nucleotide non-coding RNA. The record is from RefSeq and is a predicted model, not a curated record. NCBI's taxonomy places the organism in Eukaryota, Viridiplantae, Streptophyta, Magnoliopsida, Fabales, Fabaceae.